Cyprinus carpio (common carp) is the source of this 180-nucleotide long non-coding RNA. RefSeq lists it as uncharacterized. The record is from RefSeq and is a predicted model, not a curated record. Lineage: Eukaryota; Metazoa; Chordata; Actinopteri; Cypriniformes; Cyprinidae. The transcript is spliced from 2 exons.
AACAUGGAACAAGCUCAGCUUCAAUCUCUCAGUAUUGAACAUCGAGCAAACAGACAUCGCUGUGUACUACUGUGGGAUUAUUAUUUAUAAUACAAUGAUUUUUGGAAAUGGAACAAGACUGGUGUUUGAAGAGCAUUUUAAUGGAACGGAAAUAAUUAAGGAGAAGGAAGAUGGCUGCAG